AAACCAUGGUUUGGAAACCUCACCAUAUAUAAUUUGAAACGAUCAUAUGCCUCAUGCAACUGUUCUCCCUGUACUUGCUUGAAAAAGAAGAUUUUAUCCCUGAGCUC
RNAcentral lists this small nucleolar RNA (107 nucleotides) under Nicotiana sylvestris (wood tobacco). Its description in RNAcentral is "Plant small nucleolar RNA R71". It matches the Rfam family "Plant small nucleolar RNA R71". Rfam says of the family: R71 is a member of the C/D box family of snoRNAs containing the C (UGAUGA) and D (CUGA) box motifs. Multiple nearly identical copies of this snoRNA have been identified in Arabidopsis, and it is thought to function as a 2'-O-ribose methylation guide for 18S ribosomal RNA. The record is from Rfam by way of RNAcentral. RNAcentral also lists the same sequence under 1 other name. Lineage: Eukaryota; Viridiplantae; Streptophyta; Magnoliopsida; Solanales; Solanaceae.